UACGGAGGAUCCGAGCGUUAUCCGGAUUUAUUGGGUUUAAAGGGUGCGUAGGCGGUUUGAUAAGUUAGAGGUGAAAUGUCGGGGCUCAACCCCGAAACUGCCUCUAAUACUGUUGGACUAGAGAAUAGUUGCGGUAGGCGGAAUGUAUGGUGUAGCGGUGAAAUGCAUAGAUAUUACACAGAACACCGAUUGCGAAGGCAGCUUGCUAGGCCGGAUCUGACACUGAUGCACGAAAGCGUGGGGAUCGAACAGG
This 253-nucleotide ribosomal RNA is filed under the name uncultured Rikenellaceae bacterium. RNAcentral's name for it is "partial 16S ribosomal RNA". It matches the Rfam family "Bacterial small subunit ribosomal RNA", at positions 524 to 776 of the family's 1533-position model. Lineage: Bacteria; Pseudomonadati; Bacteroidota; Bacteroidia; Bacteroidales; Rikenellaceae. The record is from RNAcentral.